RNAcentral lists this ribosomal RNA (1499 nucleotides) under uncultured bacterium. RNAcentral describes it as "bacterial SSU rRNA". It matches the Rfam family "Bacterial small subunit ribosomal RNA". The record is from RNAcentral.
GAUGAACGCUGGCGGCGUGCCUGAGAUAUGCAAGUCGAGCGAUGUUUUACCCGCAAGGGUGAAAUAAAGCGGCGGACGGCUGAGUAACAUACAGAAAUCUGCCCCUUUUUGGGAGAUAGCACCGCGAAAGCGGUGAUAAUACCCCAUAGUCUCACCUUCGGGUGAGUAAAGGACGUAACUGUUCGAAAAGGGAUGAGUCUGUAUCCUAUCAGGUAGUUGGUGAGGUAAUGGCUCACCAAGCCUAUUACGGGUAGCUGGCCUGAGAGGGUGGCCAGCCAGAGGGGGACUGAGACACGGCCCCCACUCCUACGGGAGGCAGCAAUCAGGAAUAGUCGGCAAUGGGCGAAAGCCUGACCGCGCGACGCCGCGUGUAGGAUGAAGCUCUAACGAGUGUAAACUACUGUUGAGAGGGAAGAAGUUCCGGCUUGCCGGAAUUGACGGUACCUCUCUAGAAAGGGGCCGCUAACUGCGUGCCAGAAGCGUCGGUAAUACGUGGGCCCCGAGCGUUAUCCGGUAUCACUGGGCAUAAAGGGUCGUGUAGGCUUCUUGAUAAGUUCUCGUUUAAAUAUUCAGGCCUAACCUGGAAAAAGACGAGAAAACUAUCAAGAUAGAAUUUCCUUUAGGGAAACUGGAACUGAGAGAGGAGUAGUGAAAUGCGUUGAUACUCUCGGGAACACCAGUGGCGAAGGCGAGUUUCUGAAAGGAGAUUGACGCUGAGACACGAAAGCUAGGGUAGCGAAGCAGAUUAGAGACCUGCGUAGUCCUAGCCCUAAACGAAUGUCUGCUAGCUGCAUCUUUUCAAUAACACUUCAUCAAUAAAGCGAAGAAAUAACAUCUGAUAUUUUCUGCGUAUUUUGUGGAUGAGGUGUUGUUGAUUAGGUGUGGCGAAGGAAAUCCGUUAAGCAGACCGCCUGGGGAGUACGGCCGCAAGGCUAAAACUCAAAGGAAUUGGCGGGGAGGCACACAACCAGUGGAACAUGUGGUUUAAUUCGAGACGAAACGAAGAACCUCACCAGAGUUUGAAAUGCUAGCGUUCUAUUUCCUAGAAAUAGGAGAAAUCCGCAAGGAGGUUAGCACAGGUGCUGCAUGGCUGUCGUCAGCUCGUUCCGUGAGGAGUACCCUUAAGUGGGACAACGAGCGCAACCCCCAUCUUGUGUUACAUUUUCUCACGAGAGACUGCCCAAGCUUUGCUUGGGAGGAAGGAGGGGCAGACGUCAAGUCAGCAUGGUCCUUAUACUCUGGGCUACACACAUGUUACAAUGGAUACAAACAAUGGGCAUUGCAAGCCGGCAACGGCAAGCAAAUCCCAGAAAUGUAUUCUCAGUGGGGAUUGAGGUCUGCAACUCGACCUCAUGAACAUGGAAUUGGUAGUAAUCGCGGAUCAGCAUCGCCGCGGUGAAUACGUUCUUGCCUCUUGCACACACCGCCCGUCAAGCCAACAAAGUCGACCAUAUUCGAAUCUCGUUCUGCGGGAGAGAAUAUUGCCGGCGAUGAGGGUU